UCCAGACUCCUACGGGAGGCAGCAGUGGGGAAUAUUGCACAAUGGGGGAAACCCUGAUGCAGCGACGCCGCGUGGGUGAAGAAGUAAUUCGUUACGUAAAGCCCUAUCAGCAGGGAAGAAAAUGACGGUACCUGAGUAAGAAGCCCCGGCUAACUACGUGCCAGCAGCCGCGGUAAUACGUAGGGGGCAAGCGUUAUCCGGAUUUACUGGGUGUAAAGGGAGCGUAGACGGCAGCGCAAGUCUGAAGUGAAAUCCCAUGGCUUAACCAUGGAACUGCUUUGGAAACUGUGCAGCUGGAGUGCAGGAGAGGUAAGCGGAAUUCCUAGUGUAGCGGUGAAAUGCGUAGAUAUUAGGAGGAACACCAGUGGCGAAGGCGGCUUACUGGACAGUAACUGACGUUGAGGCUCGAAAGCGUGGGGAGCAAACAGGAUUAGAUACCCUCGUAC
Molecule: ribosomal RNA, 446 nt
Filed under: uncultured bacterium
Lineage: Bacteria
Description: bacterial SSU rRNA
Rfam family: Bacterial small subunit ribosomal RNA
Source: RNAcentral